GACGGACGCUGGCGGCGUGCUUAACACAUGCAAGUCGAACGAAGAGCGAUGGAAGCUUGCUUCUAUCAAUCUUAGUGGCGAACGGGUGAGUAACGCGUAAUCAACCUGCCCUUCAGAGGGGGACAACAGUUGGAAACGACUGCUAAUACCGCAUACGAUCUAAUCUCGGCAUCGAGGAUAGAUGAAAGGUGGCCUCUACAUGUAAGCUAUCACUGAAGGAGGGGAUUGCGUCUGAUUAGCUAGUUGGAGGGGUAACGGCCCACCAAGGCGAUGAUCAGUAGCCGGUCUGAGAGGAUGAACGGCCACAUUGGGACUGAGACACGGCCCAGACUCCUACGGGAGGCAGCAGUGGGGAAUCUUCCGCAAUGGACGAAAGUCUGACGGAGCAACGCCGCGUGAGUGAUGACGGCCUUCGGGUUGUAAAGCUCUGUUAAUCGGGACGAAAGGCCUUCUUGCGAACAGUUAGAAGGAUUGACGGUACCGGAAUAGAAAGCCACGGCUAACUACGUG
RNAcentral lists this ribosomal RNA (510 nucleotides) under uncultured bacterium. RNAcentral describes it as "partial 16S ribosomal RNA". It matches the Rfam family "Bacterial small subunit ribosomal RNA", at positions 28 to 507 of the family's 1533-position model. The record is from RNAcentral.